RNAcentral lists this unclassified non-coding RNA (328 nucleotides) under soil metagenome. Its description in RNAcentral is "partial contains 5.8S ribosomal RNA, internal transcribed spacer 2, and large subunit ribosomal RNA". The stretch from base 1 to 120 matches the Rfam family "5.8S ribosomal RNA", at positions 35 to 154 of the family's 154-position model. The record is from RNAcentral.
GAUGAAGAACGUAGCGAAAUGCGAUAAGUAAUGUGAAUUGCAGAAUUCAGUGAAUCAUCGAAUCUUUGAACGCACAUUGCGCCCCCUGGUAUUCCGGGGGGCAUGCCUGUUCGAGCGUCAUUUCAACCCUCAAGCUCUGCUUGGUAUUGAGUCCAUGUCAGCAAUGGCAGGCUCCAAAAUCAGUGGCGGCGCCGCUGGGUCCUGAACGUAGUAAUAUCUCUCGUUACAGGUGCUCGGCGUGCUUCUGCCAAAACCCCAAUUUUUCUAUGGUUGAACUCGGAUCAGGUAGGGAUACCCGCUGAACUUAAGCAUAUCAAUAAGCGGAGGA